UCCGGUUUGGCACCGGCAGUCUCUCUAGAGUUCCCGCCAUUACGCGCUGGCAACUAGAGACAGGGGUUGCGCUCGUUGCGGGACUUAACCAAACAUCUCACGACACGAGCUGACGACGGCCAUGCAUCACCUGUCACUGCGGCCCGAAGGCACUCUCUCCUUUCGGAGAAAUUGGCAGGAUGUCAAGCCUGGGUAAGGUUCUUCGCUUACCAUCGAAUUAAACAACACGCUCCACCGCUUGUGCGGGUCCCCGUCAAUUCCUUUAUGUUUUAAGCUUGCGCUCGUACUCCACAGGCGGGAUGCUUAACGCGUUAGCUUCGCUACUACCAGGGUCGAUACUGAUAACAGCUAGCAUCCAUAGUUUACGGCGUGGACUAC
Molecule: unclassified non-coding RNA, 378 nt
Filed under: uncultured bacterium
Lineage: Bacteria
Description: contains 16S-23S intergenic spacer region
Source: RNAcentral